CUUUUAAUGGCAACUUUUUGGAUUUAAGUAGCACAAUGUAUUGUUUCAGAAGGAUGAGUGUGUGAACUGACCUUAUCAGAGAUUUGUAAAACUGUGUAAGACAGCUUGCUCUCUUUCUUUUUCCAUGUAUGGAAGGAACACUUGACGUAGUCCAAAAAAAAGUUCUUACCAAUCUGCUGAUGCCUUAUAUUGAAUCUCAUCCUCUAUGAUCAAGUAGCCUAAGGAGUUUUGGUUACCUGUUAUGAUCCUAAUGUCAGCAGCUUUUUAUUUGUGAAGAGCCACAUGUUAACACCAAUGUGCACGUGACAUGGAAAAGGAACAGAUUAUGGAAACCAACUUCUGUUUCAACCUUGCAGGAGGCUGCAUGAAGUGGGCUGUGAAGCUUGUGAUCUCUAUACUGCAGCAAAUGACCUGAUUUAGAACUGUGAAGUCAUAUGUCCCAAGUAUAUCCUCUAUCUGACAUGUCAGUAGCUUGGAAGUUCAAGUACUUGAUGUCUAUUUGCCAAAAAAUGUAGAUUCGUUACAUUCGUGCCUAUUGCCAAGACUCCACUCAGCAGUGUUAAUUCAGUGUAAACUUUUUUGUGUGUGUAUGUGAUACAUCUGUCAUGAGGAAAAACUUAUGGUAAGA
RNAcentral lists this long non-coding RNA (628 nucleotides) under Apteryx owenii (little spotted kiwi). RNAcentral's name for it is "lncRNA (ENSAOWG00000007544.1)". The record is from RNAcentral. Lineage: Eukaryota; Metazoa; Chordata; Aves; Apterygiformes; Apterygidae.